Arachis ipaensis is the source of this 211-nucleotide non-coding RNA. The record is from RefSeq and is a predicted model, not a curated record. Lineage: Eukaryota; Viridiplantae; Streptophyta; Magnoliopsida; Fabales; Fabaceae.
GGACCACCGCCAGAGCCUCUGGCUACUUCUGCCGUUGCCAGAAAACUCUACCGUUACCAACGCCGGAGUCCGGUCGCCGCUGUCACUUGAGGUGGCUGACGGGCUGCCGCCGAACCGGUUCAAGAGACCGCCGCUGUUCGGUUCAGCCGUUCCUUCUUCGUGUUGAUAUGGUUAUUGCGAAAGUGGUUGGAAGCUGAGGUUUUGGUUGCCG